Molecule: ribosomal RNA, 882 nt
Filed under: Bacillus licheniformis
Lineage: Bacteria; Bacillati; Bacillota; Bacilli; Caryophanales; Bacillaceae
Description: bacterial SSU rRNA
Rfam family: Bacterial small subunit ribosomal RNA
Source: RNAcentral
GAGCGGACCGACGGGAGCUUGCUCCCUUAGGUCAGCGGCGGACGGGUGAGUAACACGUGGGUAACCUGCCUGUAAGACUGGGAUAACUCCGGGAAACCGGGGCUAAUACCGGAUGCUUGAUUGAACCGCAUGGUUCAAUCAUAAAAGGGGGCUUUUAGCUACCACUUACAGAUGGACCCGCGGCGCAUUAGCUAGUUGGUGAGGUAACGGCUCACCAAGGCGACGAUGCGUAGCCGACCUGAGAGGGUGAUCGGCCACACUGGGACUGAGACACGGCCCAGACUCCUACGGGAGGCAGCAGUAGGGAAUCUUCCGCAAUGGACGAAAGUCUGACGGAGCAACGCCGCGUGAGUGAUGAAGGUUUUCGGAUCGUAAAACUCUGUUGUUAGGGAAGAACAAGUACCGUUCGAAUAGGGCGGCACCUUGACGGUACCUAACCAGAAAGCCACGGCUAACUACGUGCCAGCAGCCGCGGUAAUACGUAGGUGGCAAGCGUUGUCCGGAAUUAUUGGGCGUAAAGCGCGCGCAGGCGGUUUCUUAAGUCUGAUGUGAAAGCCCCCGGCUCAACCGGGGAGGGUCAUUGGAAACUGGGGAACUUGAGUGCAAAAGAGGAGAGUGGAAUUCCACGUGUAGCGGUGAAAUGCGUAAGAUGUGGAGGAACACCAGUGGCGAAGGCGACUCUCUGGUCUGUAACUGACGCUGAAGCGCGAAACGUGGGGAGCGAACAGGAUUAGAUACCCUGGUAGUCCACGCCGUAAACGAUGAGUGCUAAGUGUUAGAGGGUUUCCGCCCUUUAGUGCUGCAGCAAACGCAUUAAGCACUCCGCCUGGGGAGUACGGUCGCAAGACUGAAACUCAAAGGAAUUGACGGGGGCCCGCACAA